This 879-nucleotide long non-coding RNA is filed under the name Callithrix jacchus (white-tufted-ear marmoset). RNAcentral describes it as "lncRNA (ENSCJAG00000080344.1)". The record is from RNAcentral. Lineage: Eukaryota; Metazoa; Chordata; Mammalia; Primates; Cebidae.
UGAUAAGGCUAGCAUCUGAACUAGCUGGGAGGUAUGAGACAAAGACAGUUGGAGACCAUUACUUCAAACAUACUGAUUUCAAAGUUCUGGCUCUAGUAAGAGCCACGACCUCCGACUCAGUGAUUUAUAAACCUGGAGACUCAACAGAAGCUUUCACAAACACAGAUUCUAGAACCUUAUGCUACAUUCACUGAAGGAGGCAUUUCAGAGUGGGGCCCAGGAACCUGCAUUUUAAGACCACUUCCCACGUGAUCUCAAGGCAGCUGAUCCCUGGGCUGCAGUUGGCCUCAUGUCAUAACUCCUGAAAUGUAAGGACUAAGAGCACCCGAGACAUGACAGUGCCACCUACCUACAGAUGACGACAUCAAGGCCCUGAGAUGAAAGGAACUUGACCCAGGUCAGGCAGAGGACCCUGAAUGUCCUCUGAGGCCAUGGGAAGAGCAUUAUACUUGGAGCCAGAGAAGUGGAUUCAGGCCCAGGCCCAGUGACCUUACCAUCGGAGAGCUCCUGAGAAAGUCCCUUUACCUCUCCGAGCUUCAAUUUCCUCACUGGUAAAAUGGAAACAUAAGGUCCUCCUACUAUUGCUAUUUUACUGGAUAAAAUCAUACACAUAAAACACAUGGCAAGACCUUAAUACUGGUUACUGUUUGGGUUUGUAUGACCAUUAACCCAGAUUUCCUGGUUCCUAGUACGUCUUUCUCCAACAGUGUUCAUGAGGAUUUUGAAGUUUCGUGUCUCCAAGGUCAAAUGCAGGUACUCCAGGAGGAAAGAACAAUGUUAAAUGUUGCGACCAAUGCUAUAAGGAGCUUGAGAGUCAAGCAGCAGCUUUCAGUACAGUCUUCCAGGUUUGAGGGGACCACGAAGCAGACAGGCAGGUAG